RNAcentral lists this ribosomal RNA (201 nucleotides) under uncultured bacterium. Its description in RNAcentral is "partial 16S ribosomal RNA". It matches the Rfam family "Bacterial small subunit ribosomal RNA", at positions 1300 to 1500 of the family's 1533-position model. The record is from RNAcentral.
GCAGGCUGCAACUCGCCUGUAUGAAGUCGGAAUUGCUAGUAAUCGCGGAUCAGCAUGCCGCGGUGAAUACGUUCCCGGGCCUUGUACACACCGCCCGUCACACCAUGAGAGCCGGGAACACCCGAAGUCCGUAGUCUAACCGCAAGGGGGGCGCGGCCGAAGGUGGGUUCGAUAAUUGGGGUGAAGUCGUAACAAGGUACC